Molecule: long non-coding RNA, 1782 nt
Organism: Amphibalanus amphitrite
Lineage: Eukaryota; Metazoa; Arthropoda; Thecostraca; Balanomorpha; Balanidae
Exons: 3
Source: RefSeq, a predicted model, not a curated record
GGCACGCGCCACGUGCAAGUGUGAGGGCAAUUUCAUUUCAAAAAGUGCCAUUUUAAACGGAUUUUGGAAUUUAUAUUAAUUUCAGGUGACGUCAGACGGAAUGAGUUGAAACAGCGCCAUUAGCAUAAAAAUGUACCGCCUCAUGGAAAAAUUGUGAAAGCUAAUUGAUCAAAAACAAUGUGGAAAAAAUCGCUGAAUUAAAUGGUAUUUGUCCAUAAUGUGCCACUAAAAAGAUACACGGAUUUGCUGCUUAACCUGAUACGUUUGACAAUUGAAAUUGCUAUCAUUGGAAAGAGCAUUCAAUUCUCUCCAAGAUCCAAUCAUCACGUUUGCAUGACACACAGUAUUCUUAAAAAUAAAUGUUUUAAACCUCUGCAAAACGAUUUUUAGCGAAAUUAUCUACGCCUUUCAUUUGUCUUAAAAACUACGCACCUCAAUUAUAAAGCACAUUUGACAGGUUCACUGAACUAUUGACAGGUUCUGAAGUAGAAAGCAUGCUCAUCAGACACAGGCACCUCGAUCCGAUGGAUAUCUUUUUUCCAAACCAAAACGUUUAGCCAUCAAAAAACAAUCGACCGAAAUGGAUAGAUAACCCAACCGACACAAGAACAACCAAACACCCGCCGAUCGUAAAUACCCCCUUUUCGCGUUGCGGAGCACGCGGGUCACCCUAGUGUACUACUAAAUAUGCAGAUAUUCACAUAGUAGGUAUCUGUGUGUAAAUCAUUACUCAUCAGUGCUCGUAUCUGCAGCGCACGAAAAUGGAGAAUAAACAUUUCGUCAUUUUGUUGAAUCAUACGAUGGGGUGGAAAAUACAUGUUAACGGGUGGACACCAUGCUGACUAUCUUAAGUUGUGUUUCGCUUAAAUGUUUUUUUUUUAGUUUCUUAUGCAUAGAUGAAUAGAUAAUAGACAUGCAAUCAUAAUAUUGAGUUGCCCCGAGGCCAAACUGCCCAACAUUUCGAAUAUCAAGCGGAAGGAGCCAGAGUCCACAAUCCACAUCAACUGUUUUGUCUGAAAGCAAAGUUAGGUCAUCUUCUGCUUCCUUUCAAAUGAAGGCCACAACCUUUAUCGAUUUGAUAAUAUACGAUAGCAGCAUAAACUACCGUGAUAGGCUCUGCUUUCAAAACUCAUGUAUUUCUGAGUGACACAUCAAUGUAAUCCAUGAUUCCAGGGAGGAAAUCUCUCCGAAUUGGAGACACUGGUAAAUAUACGCAAGUUACAUUUUCAGUGUUCGACAAUAUAGCCAUGACGAGAAUAGCGUCAUCGGAGAGCAACGUUGCAGCACUCCACACUGGCCGCAACGUGCUAGGAAGGACAUCAACCGUGCAAACAAUCCAUCAGAAAAAAGGAACCCUCGCAACCACCCGAGAGUGCAACCUUCGUAAAGGGCCAACUGGAUGGGACUUUCAUCUUGAGGUGCUCGAAACAUCAACGGUUGACUACAUUGAACGAUUUGAGCUUAGUAAGAAAGAUGCAAUGAAGAAGAGGACUUACGAACGAAUUUCCAUUUUUCUGUGAGUCUUUCACAGAAAAAUGUGGGUCGUACUGCAUUCGAGACCCCUCCCCCUAAAUCCCAAACAUCCAAGUCUACCAAUUUGGCAUCUUUAUUUCGGCGCGAAUCAAUCAAACCCUUUGAGAAUGGGUUAACGGCCGGACCAACAAUGUUUAAUAAACACCUGCAAUUACACGACAACGACAACGACAUACAGCACUUGAUAGGGAUAAAUAUGAUACCGUGUUAUAAACAAAUUGUUGAGUUGAAAUAAAUGAAAUAUUAUUA